RNAcentral lists this ribosomal RNA (425 nucleotides) under uncultured bacterium. RNAcentral's name for it is "bacterial SSU rRNA". It matches the Rfam family "Bacterial small subunit ribosomal RNA", at positions 356 to 773 of the family's 1533-position model. The record is from RNAcentral.
GGGGAAUUUUGGACAAUGGGGGAAACCCUGAUCCAGCCAUGCCGCGUGUCUGAAGAAGGCCUUCGGGUUGUAAAGGACUUUUGUCCGGGAGGAAACCCUGAUCGUUAAUAGCGGUCGGGACUGACAGUACCGGAAGAAUAAGCACCGGCUAACUACGUGCCAGCAGCCGCGGUAAUACGUAGGGUGCAAGCGUUAAUCGGAAUUACUGGGCGUAAAGCGUGCGCAGGCGGUGAGAUAAGUCAGCUGUGAAAGCCCCGGGCUCAACCUGGGAACUGCGGCCGAAACUGUCUCGCUAGAGUACGUCAGAGGGGGGUGGAAUUCCACGUGUAGCAGUGAAAUGCGUAGAGAUGUGGAGGAACACCAAUGGCGAAGGCAGCCCCCUGGGAUGAUACUGACGCUCAUGCACGAAAGCGUGGGGAGCAAAC